GACCCCAUCGUCUAGUGGUCUAGGACAGCUGGUUUUCAGCCAGCAAAUCGGGGGUUCGAAUCCCCCUGGGGUCACAA
RNAcentral lists this transfer RNA (77 nucleotides) under candidate division CPR3 bacterium. RNAcentral's name for it is "tRNA-Glu". It matches the Rfam family "tRNA". Rfam says of the family: Transfer RNA (tRNA) molecules are approximately 80 nucleotides in length. Their secondary structure includes four short double-helical elements and three loops (D, anti-codon, and T loops). The record is from RNAcentral. Lineage: Bacteria; candidate division CPR3.